This 30-nucleotide non-coding RNA is filed under the name Mus musculus (house mouse). Lineage: Eukaryota; Metazoa; Chordata; Mammalia; Rodentia; Muridae. The record is from RNAcentral.
UAGUGAUCGGAAGUCUUGUAAUCAGGCCUU